This 693-nucleotide ribosomal RNA is filed under the name Triticum aestivum (bread wheat). Its description in RNAcentral is "partial small subunit ribosomal RNA". Lineage: Eukaryota; Viridiplantae; Streptophyta; Magnoliopsida; Poales; Poaceae. The record is from RNAcentral.
AUGCAUGACGCUAAUGAGAUUUGGGGUGCUGCCCUCUUGGAAAUUCAGGUGAACCCAGCUUCAGACUCUGACAGAACACAACCACCACCCGUGGCGAUUCAGAAAGUGCUGACAGAGUUCAACGACGUAUUUGCAGAACCAACUAAACUUCCUCCCCAUCGACAAUAUGAUCUUGCGAUCACACUAGAACCGGGUGCAAUACCAAUCAACUGCAGGCCUUAUCGCUACUCACCAUUGCAGAAGGACGAGAUUGAACGGCAAGUAAAAGAGAUGUUGCGUACGGGUGUCAUCACUCACAGCAUGAGCCGCUAUGCAGCACCCGUCCUUCUCGUCAAGAAAAAGGACGGCACAUGGCGUUUCUGUGUCGACUACCGACGUCUCAACACGGUGACAAUCAAGAACAAGUUUCCACUACCUAUCAUUGAUGAGCUGUUGGACGAACUGGCUGGUGCCGCUUUCUUCUCCAAGAUAGAUUUGCGUGCCGGUUACCAUCAGAUUCGUAUGCGGGAGAGCGACGAGGAUAAAACAGCUUUCAAGACACAUCACGGCCACUUCCAGUUCCGCGUCAUGCCAUUUGGAGUCACCAAUGGGCCACCAACCUUCCAAUGUGUGAUUAACUCUGUCUUUGCGGAACCAAAUCGUAAGUUUGUCAUCAGUUUUCUGGAUGACAUAUUGCUUUUCAGUCAAUCCUUA